Molecule: long non-coding RNA, 788 nt
Organism: Cannabis sativa
Lineage: Eukaryota; Viridiplantae; Streptophyta; Magnoliopsida; Rosales; Cannabaceae
Exons: 3
Source: RefSeq, a predicted model, not a curated record
UUAGAGAAUAAGUUACUAUAUUAAUAUAUUAAUAGCGUUUUAUAUGUGCAUUUUCAUCAAACUAUUUAUUUAAAAUCUUGAGAUCAUUUAUUAUCUAAGAAGAUUAUCAACCUCUUUCUUUGUCUGUUUAUCGAAAAUUUGAGAUAUUUAUUUGGACUUGCAAAGCUACUCAACACAGAAGAAUGAAGAUCUUGCUUCAUCGGUUUUAACUAUACAUAGUUCUUGUGUGACACACAGCUAAGUAAAAAUGCACAAAUGACUGAAACUCAAUCUCAAAAUGAUAAAUAUCAAUGGAAGAUCAAAAAAGUCUUAGGGGAGAAUGAUGUGGCGCUACACCGAAUGUUCAAGUUCACAAGAAUAGAAGCAGAAUAUAUUUUUUGUAACAUUAGCAAUGACAAAGUUAAUAAAGCUAAGGAAGGAGGAGAUGUGAAGAUCAAGAUGGUGGACUUAGACACUCUAACUCAUCAUGAAUUGUCCUUGAGGAAAGUUAAGUCUGGCAAUGUUUUUGGGUUUAAGCUUGGUUGGUUGAGUCAUUUUGUGGUUAGGAGAAAGCUCAGAGUUGGUGAUGAGAUUGGGAUAUAUGUGGAUCCUAAUACUUCUGUGUUUUACUUUUCUGUGUUGUCUGUCUAGAGCGUAAUGUGGAACAAAUUAGAUCUAGUUUGGUAAACUAUAUUGUAUUGUACUGGAUAGUAUUGUGUUGAAUUGUAUUUGUUAUCUUUGUUUUCGAAAAAGGAACGCAUGUACUUUUAAGAUCCAAGAUCAAUUAAUAAAGACCCAAUUCACAGUCA